UACGUAGGGUGCGAGCGUUAAUCGGAAUUACUGGGCGUAAAGCGUGCGCAGGCGGUUUUGUAAGCCAGAUGUGAAAGCCCCGGGCUCAACCUGGGAAUGGCAUUUGGGACUGCAAGGCUUGAGUGCGGCAGAGGAGACUGGAAUUCCUGGUGUAGCAGUGAAAUGCGUAGAUAUCAAGAGGAACACCUGCGGCGAAGGCGGGUUGCUGGGCCGACACUGACGCUGAUGCGCGAAAGCCAGGGGAGCGAACGGG
This 253-nucleotide ribosomal RNA is filed under the name uncultured bacterium. Its description in RNAcentral is "partial 16S ribosomal RNA". It matches the Rfam family "Bacterial small subunit ribosomal RNA", at positions 524 to 776 of the family's 1533-position model. The record is from RNAcentral.